ACAACAAGGGUUCAUUUCUCUCAAACCCUGCAUGUCCAUUACAGGUUAGCUGCACCUCUACUCCACGUGUUCCUCCCUUCAGGUCCCAGGCUGAUGGAGUAGCCUCUGUGUGUUUGGGAUGUUGUCAGUCAUAAUGGUGGACACAAAAGAGAUUAUGACAAACCGUGUAUUGUCUCCUACAAUUUCUGCUCACAGAAGUGGACAACAUCACUUCUUUCCACAUUUCAUUGACCAGAGCAAGUCAUGUGACCAAGCCUGAUUCAAAAUAGGCUGGAGCAAGGAGGAGCAGCAAACAUAACAUUCCCAGUUUACAGCUGAGGAAAUUAAGCUUCAAGUUGCCCAAGUUUAUAGAAUGAGUCAAUGGCAGAGGUUGAACUCAGAUGACAAAAUUGGGGUCUGGACGUGUGCAAGGACUUUUCCAAAGUCAGCUGGAAAGGAGCUGCUUAGCUGAGAGGUUCUGGCUCCAGAGUCUCCUGUGAAGUUGCAGUCAAGAUGUCUGCUGGGACCCCAGUCAUUUGAAGCCCUGUCUGGGGCAGGAGAAUCUAGGUCCAAAAUGGCCGUUGCAGGAGUCCUUAUCCACACCAUGUGGGACCUCUUCAUAGAUGUUCGAGUGUCCUCAUGGCAUGGCCACUGGCUUUCCCCAAAACAAUCAACAAAACUGAAAAAGCCCAGCCUUGUAGCAUUUGCCAGUUAUUGUGUAAAUGUCCCCACUAUGGUGGAUUUCAGGUUACCACUAUGAUAUCACAGAAUGCAGAAUUGGAAGGAGAUUCACAGCAGCACCCCAUUAUACUAUAUUUUCACCAUACAGAUGCAGUCGAUGUAAAUUACCUGAGGAGCAUAAAUAAUAAUAAAAUGAAGUUAAAUAAUUCGGAAAUGAUUUUGAAAAUUGUGUUGGUUUUUAAUGUAAG
Molecule: long non-coding RNA, 908 nt
Filed under: Homo sapiens (human)
Lineage: Eukaryota; Metazoa; Chordata; Mammalia; Primates; Hominidae
Description: non-protein coding RBM26-AS1:10
Source: RNAcentral